Molecule: ribosomal RNA, 661 nt
Filed under: uncultured bacterium
Lineage: Bacteria
Description: bacterial SSU rRNA
Rfam family: Bacterial small subunit ribosomal RNA
Source: RNAcentral
GUCGAGCGAACAGAUGAGGAGCUUGCUCCUUAAGAUGUUAGCGGCGGACGGGUGAGUAACACGUGGGCAACCUGCCCUAUAGUUUGGGAUAACUCGCGGAAACGUGAGCUAAUACCGAAUAAUACAUUCCAUCUCCUGAUGGGAUGUUGAAAGAUGGUUUUUCGCUAUCGCUAUAGGAUGGGCCCGCGGCGCAUUAGCUAGUAGGUGAGGUAACGGCUCACCUAGGCAACGAUGCGUAGCCGACCUGAGAGGGUGAUCGGCCACACUGGGACUGAGACACGGCCCAGACUCCUACGGGAGGCAGCAGUAGGGAAUCUUCCACAAUGGACGAAAGUCUGAUGGAGCAACGCCGCGUGAGUGAAGAAGGUUUUCGGAUCGUAAAACUCUGUUGUAAGGGAAGAACAAGUACAGUAGUAACUGGCUGUACCUUGACGGUACCUUAUUAGAAAGCCACGGCUAACUACGUGCCAGCAGCCGCGGUAAUACGUAGGUGGCAAGCGUUGUCCGGAAUUAUUGGGCGUAAAGCGCGCGCAGGCGGUCCUUUAAGUCUGAUGUGAAAUCACGUGGCUCAACCACGUGCGGUCAUUGGAAACUGGAGGACUUGAGUGCAGAAGAGGAAAGUGGAAUUCCAAGUGUAGCGGUGAAAUGCGUAGAGAUUUGG